UACCAGGAAUUGACUUUCUGAUGACAGAAGAACGACUACCACCGACACUUCUGCUCCCCCUAGGCCCUUGUUUUAUAGGAUCUUCUCGGGUUAUAUCUUUUAUUUCGUGCGACAUAGGACCCUUUGACUUAAGCUGGGCUUGAUGAUUGGAUAACAUGGUAAAUAUCAUCUGGUUAUAGUAGCCAUCCAAGUCACUUACAGAGAACGGCAUGACCUUGUUGUUUUUGAAUUCCCAACAGCACACGUAGACACCAGAGAACAAGUUUUCUGGGGCAAGAGAAAUAUAUCUCUCAUAAUCUUCAGGUGUCAAAACAGUAGCAGGAGCGUCAAUGCACUCGGCAUAGAUCACCUGAGUAUGAGGCGUGAUAAAUAUUUCUCCAGGGUGUCCCUCAAGCUGCGGAAUUACACACUGGACUUCCUGAAGAUGUUGAAACCACCGCACCUUAACGCUUUUCUCUCCCUUCUUGUUCUCAUAGAAAUCAUCCAAGUAAGCUAGGUAGUGACCUUCUUCUUCGGCCUUGAUUAUAGCAAAGGAAUUAACCUGCAGAAAACUCUUAGUUUCAGGAGGAAGAAAAAAAAAAAAACGAGGUCAAGGAACUGAGAAAUGCUACAAAGUGCUUACAGUUAUUGUAAUUCCCUUUGUGCUAAAAGAAGGAUAAUGCUUAAGUCGCUUAGCGCACGUCCAAGCAGUACCGGACCACAAAAUAUUUGAUAUCUUUGGUUUCGAUUUGCUAGGAAGCUGUCCCUGAAAUAGAUAUUUUCCCCUUCAGUAACCGUAGUUAAAAAUGUUGAAACUAAGGUACAUACAAAGUAGAUCAACACAUUUGAGACCUCAUCAGAUAUGUGACCAGCUGUUGAAGCACUCCUUUUCUUUUCACUUGCCGGGGUAUCUACAAGAUAAGAGAAGUCAAAUUUAUACUAUAGCUUUCUAAUUAAAGAAGCACAAUAACUAGACAUAGUGAGCUUCUUAAUCGUGAUAAUAAACUAUGUGAAGCAUGGAGUAAGACUAUUGUGGAUAGUCUUAAAAUAGCUCAUUUAAAACUUCUUUACAUUAUUUAAGAUAGAAAAUAUGUGAUAGAACUUCUCACAGGAUGUUAAUUUAUCAUAUUAAAAAAUGAUUCAUUUGCAUCCCCCGAUCCUGGAUUGAAGAUAGUUAACUUACAAUGUAAGGAAACACAAUUUUUUACGUAUGUUACUAUUGUACGAAUAACAGCAAAACUAAAAGAACAACUAGAAUUGCACUCCACCAUCUAAGUAUCUCGGACUCAGGUACAGGUAUCCGAUAUGGGUAUGGAUCUAAAGGUCAAAUCCUGCAUGAUCUAAAUUUUAAGAUUCGAGAGUACUAAUUUAGGUAUGGAUAUGGGUGCAGGGAUUCGGCUAAAAUAAUUCAAAAUUCAAAUAUAGAGUUUUAUGUCUACAUUUUGAGACAUCAUAUGGAAACUUUCAAGGUUUUAUGAGGAAAGAUUAUUGUUUAAGAGAAUUCCAAAAUGUGAUAUAAGGAAAACGACUGACAUAGAAAUUACUCCAUUUUCUUCAAUUUCACCUUAACUUUUGUUUUGAUUAUAGAAAUCAUUGUAUGCAUUCCGAAUUUCUCUAUUGAUUUUGAUCAAAGUAUCCAAAAUCAAUUUACUAAAUCCAGCACGGAUCCCACACCAUACUCAUAUCAUCUCAACGUGGGUGCAACACUGAAAUGAAGAGUCCAAGCAACUUAGUCCACCGUGCAUAAUGAUUUAGUAAAUGAUAUGAUUAUACUUUUUAACAUCACGUGUAAAUAUUCAUGACAAUCACUUGAUGGGGGAACUUUUAUAUGAGGUCGAAUUGAAUAAUGUCAUGAAGGUCAUAACUCGAGCCAAAAGUGUAGAAAAAACAAGAAAUAAUGCAAAUCUCUUGUGCCCUUGUAUGCUUUAGAAACAGAGCACAAUAGGUUCUUGGUCCCUAUAUUGUGCAAGGAUUCCAAAAUGUCCAAAAGUGAUAGCCGCUAUAUUGCUCAGACUCUUCAAAAAUAUCAUUGGUUACGUGUCAGAUCAUUCAAAAAUAGUGCAUUUUUUAAGGAUCCGAUACGGGUGCGGCCACACUUUUGGAUAAUUCGAGCAACUUAGGUGAUAGGUAGUAGUGUUUCUUGGCACUCAUAAGUUCAAAAAUUUGUUUAUUGGAUCCAUGCGGAAUAGCUUCCUUCUAACUUAUUGUUGCAUGUUUCAAUUUCAAAACGUAUAUUCAAUUUAAGCAAUCUUGCUUUCUAGUCUCCAUACACAUGUUGACAAUCAUCCAAAUCAUAAGAAGGCAAACAUAAGUUGAUUCUUCCGAAGAGAUGUGUCAACCUCGGGAUGUAUUACUCCUAAUACCAUGCGGCUCAGGGACGAAGCUUAACAUGAGUCUCGGUUAAGAACGGAGAUGAUAGACUCAUAUACAUUUCACACGGCACACGAUCCAUGAUUAGUUUCAUCCGAGAUCGUGAUGGAGGACAUUGCUUAUGAUCAUCGGCUUAUAUCAUGCCACUAGGCAUUUGAUUAAGACAUUGCACAAUGAUUCCAACACUUUGUAGUUGGUCAUGUAUUUCUACCUUGAUGGGAUAGAUGAAAUUCUUGUUCGGAUGUCGAAUCAUUGAUGGCAAUGUCACUAAAGCAUUGACGAACUCAUUCUGGAUUUGUGGGACGUGUCUGAACUCAAUAUUCAUUAAUUUCCCACAUAACUCUUUUAUAUGGCCAAAUAUGGCAAUAUCUCAUCAUUUUUAAUGAUCCGUUCUCCAUCAUGAAUUCGUGAUAAUGUAUGGCAUUCUAACUUCUCUCACUAGAUGCCAAGAUCCUUAGCAACAUAGUGAAAGCCUUUCUCCGCUUAUAAAAUCAUUUGUUUCAAACAACUCCAAGGUCAUUUGUUCUUAAUACUUCAUAGCUAAUGUAACCACUAAAUAUAUGAUGUUCUUUGGGUCACUAAUAGGAAAAUCUAAAAAACUUUUUAGAUCUAAUAUGAAAUAUGAACCGAGGGUCUAUCAAAAACAAUAUCUCUAUCAUUAGGGGUAAGGUUUAUGUACACACUACCCUCUCAAGACCUCACUUGUGGGAUUACAUCGGCUAUGUUAUUGCUGUUGUAUAUAAUAUGACGUACCUUAAAUAAAACUGCACCCAAGGGUGUGCCUAAAGAUCAAUGAAGUAGAUUAAGAACUAUGACUUCUCAAGUUCAAAUUCCAACAGAGAUAAAAAUACUAGAUGAUUUCUUCAUAUUUGUCCAAGCCUUGGUGGACAAAAUCGUCUGCUACUAGCGGUGGUGGGGAGGUCAGGAAUCUGUGGAAUUAGUCGAGGUGAUUUCAAGACCCCGUCCACCCCCAGAUCAAUAUUAGCAAAUACGUUAGCUAAUAAUGCCAAUUAAUAUAAAUAGUUGGAUCGACGCUUUUGAUAUUACCGGGGAGUGUUGGGUAAAGUCAUACUUGUCAAGGAAAAGUUGGACUGGUAUUAUUAAGAAGCUGGCUACCCAAAAAUUAUCACUAGCUUGGUCAUUUAACUAAUUGGACAGGGUAAAGGACUAUCUUGGUGGAGAUUAGGAUUAGUUUGAUGAAUAAAAGAAGAAUCGGUUGAAAUUCUCUCGGGGAAAGUUGUUUGUGAUUGUUGUAUACAUGCCCUUUAUUGCAAGAUCACAUUGUUGUAAAAUGCAAUAACAUUUUGAAAGGCCAACAUUUUCUACAUCAUGCACAAUCAGAGCCGUCUCGAAUACUAGAGCCUGUAAGGCCAACAUCAAGAUGUAAAUAGUACCAAGUGAUAUUCAAUGAGGUCUACAUGUUUAAACUUAUAAGAGAGUACAUAAUUGGAUUAUUCACAUUACCGCAUCUGUAUAUGUUACGCCCCGCAAUUCGGGCUACAAUAUAGACUAUGAUUUCGAUGCGUUGUUAAUCCCGAAGCCAUAAAAUCCUAUGCCAGCACGGCAUGUUAAUUAUCGUGUAGCAUGUGAAAUCCACUCAUGCUUGAAUUUAGACCAUAGAGGUCCCUCAACUCAAGGACGAGUUGAAACUAUUUUGAUCGACUAAAUUUUAGUGGACGUUGUAAAGUGUGUCACCUUCCUUCGACCAUAACUCUAUGUAUAUGUCAAAUUAGGGAACCUACUAUGUGUCAAAUGAUAGGUAUUCGAGUUAGCUUUCGAACGAUACCAAGUUGGCUAAAAUCCGACACCCGAGCAAAAAGUUAUGGCCUUUCAAAGUGAUAAGUGACGCCUAACCAAUCGCCCAUGGCCACUGGAAAGCAUAGGCAAUAGCCUAGGCUGCGCCUAUGUAAACAUAGGUGAUAGCCUAGGCGGCGCCUAUGUGAAGAUAGGCGAUGGGAUGGGCGGUGCCUAUGUAAGUAAUUCUAGUGAUUUAAACACUCCGUGUUGAGGACAAAGUGGUCCUUUUCCACCCUUAGCCCUAAAACACGAGAUUUAGUUCCAAGGACCCCAAAAUACAUAUUCUUUCAUCAAAAGUGCUCAAGAUUCUCCUUAGGAUUUCAAAAUAAAAACCCAAGCCACUCAAGAUUCAACCGUGGGUUUUAGAAACUAAUUACAUAUUUGGAAUCCUCUCAACGUAGGCUUCAAGAAGCACCUAAUAUUCAUAGUAAUCGAGGUACGUGGGGUUAUCCAAAAAUCUCAUGGGUGUAGUUUUAUGAACAUGCAUGCUUUUAAAUGGGGGUUUUCAAUCAAAUGCUAAUAUCUUGCUUUCAAUAUGAUUUCUAAGUCAUUUUCUUUAUGUCAUGGGAAUUGUUUGCCUACAUACUUCAAUGGUUGAAACCAUGUAUAUGUGAUUUGAGAUUUUCCAUGGAAGUUGAUAAAUAUGAAUGAUAAAUUAUUUUCAAAUUCCCAUGACAAUGUUUCGAUACUCCAUAUUAUAUUGUGAUCAACAAAAGAGAGCAUGAAUUUGAAAUAAAUAUUGUUCACCACUUGUAAAUGAUGAAGCACCUUGGUUUUCACAUGAUUAUGCAUAUGUGGAUGUCUCAUCGCUGGAAGAACGUGUUUGCCGACACGGAAUAUCGAUACCAUGCUUUGUGUUCUUGCGUACCUGAUAUUAUAUUAUCCCAAAUUGGGAUUAUGGUUAGGAGCCAUGCUUUGUGGUCUUGUGCACUACCAUAUUUGAUUUGGGUCUAGACACCAUGCUUUGUGGUCUUGUGUGUCUCUCCUCACUUAUACUCUAAUCUCGGCGGUAACCGAGGUUUGACAGUUGGUGUAAAUUAUGUAGGGUAUUCCAUCUAGCUCAGUUGCAUUUUAUUAUUGUUGAGAAAACUAUUGCGUUACACCCAUGUGCUUUCAAAUGAUUUGAUACAAAAUUGCUUUAUGAUGGCUCUCAAUUAUACUUUGUAAAAAUAUUAUGUUUUGUUUUGAUAUCUCUGCGUGCCAGUACUUUUGUGCUGACCCCCUCCACUCUCCAACCUCUCAGGUUCAGAGGCCCAGUCUAGGGGUCAAGAGAAUCAGUAGAACUUUCUAACUUUUAGACAGAGCUGUAGAGACAAGUGGUGAGCCUUCUAUGUUUCGGAAGGUCUUAAGUCCUGUAGUCCUUUUAUCUUAUAUUCAGUUUUUGGGUCUACUGGGGGCCUUGUCCCAGUUUUCAGAUAGUUACUUGUUUCAGUCAUGUAGUAGAGAUUUCGCAGAUGAUUUUUGAAAUGUUGAUUGAGAUUGUGGGACAUUAUUCCCCAUUAUUGUUUUCAUAUGAUUCUUGACCAUGUUUCUAUUAUAUUGUGUUUCUUUCGCAUGACUUUGAUCAUAUGAAUUAGGUGCAUGAUUACCAGAUAGAUAGGGGUGUUUCGGGUCUCAAAGGUUCGAAAUGCUCGUCACAGCCAGGCCCUGGUUUGGGUUGUGACAGUAUCAUUAGCGAUACUCGGAAUUAGAUACUCACUAAUUAUAUUCAACCUCCUAUAAGUGUCAAACCUACCAUUAAUAAGAGUAUAUCAUAAGCAAAUGAUUCUACAAGGCUAUCACAAGUCAUGGCCUAAGGUGGGGCCGAGGGCAUCUUAUCUAUGCGGCUUCUCAUUAUUCUUGAAUUGAAUCUUUGUGAUUUCUCAAGUGGUUAGAUAGUCAUUAUCUUGACCGUUUGCUCAUGAUCUAGAAUCAAAGGGAAGAUUGUACUAAGAUCCACCUGAGUACCCAACUCCUCUUAAAAUGCUCUCCAAAAGCUAUAAGUGAACACGGAACCCCGGUCUGUUGUUCACAUAGUUUAUGUCGGUUUAGAGAAACUCUCCAAAAGAAAAACUUAUUAGUUUUAAGAUAAUAUAUGAUUGGUCAAGGAAAGAGAGUUUUAAUGGACCCCAUGGGUCCUGCCUGGCCGCUGAGAGCUCGGUGGGUGUAUACGGAAGAUCAUAUUGCUUUCACCAUUCAUUCUAUUCAUAUUGCAUUGCAUAGAUAUAAUUUUCCAAAUGGUUGAACGCUCAAAUAAGAAAUUGCAUGAAGACGUGUAGUUAAAGGCUCGGUUGCUCAGGUGCCUAGAAGAAAUUUAAGGUUUAGAAUCAAAGGAGAUUUCGAUUAUGCUUGACAAUCGGGAAUGCAUUUAUUUAUUUUCGAUAGCAAAAAUUGAGCAAACCAAUGGGCUAGAGCUCCUUCUUUUUAUAUAAUAGGGAACAAAUUUAAAUCUAAAAGAUUGAAAAGCAGUCCAUCUGUCUUAGUUAGAUAGUAAUAUAGCCUGAAAAAUAUUAACAAAUAUCAAUUAACUAACAAAUAUCAAUUAACGGGAUAGAAUAAUCACAACGGGAGGUUUCCUUUCAUGCUCGCUUACAUACCAGUAGCUAUAUUAACUUAUGCGCGCAACCAAGGGUGUGGCCUAGUGGUCAAUGAAAUGGUUGAGCACAAUUAGAUCUCAGGUUCAAAUCCAGCAGAGAAAAAUCACUAGGUGAUUUCUUCUCAUCUGUCCUAGCCUUGGUGGACAGUUGCUGGUGGGCGGUGGCAGACACCCCGUAGAAUUCGUGGUGCGCGCAAGCGGGCUCGUACACCAAGGUUAUCAAAAAACAUUAACUUAUGUGCUUCAACAAUUAAACGGAACAGUUGAAGUCCAAAUCACAUAGUAGUUUAGGCCUUAUGACUGAAUGACUCACAACAUUCGAAUCAGCCAAAGAAAAGGGCCUCACUCUAAACAUAUUAUACUAAACGACAAAUUUGUGUGCUGCACGUUUUUAAAGUACAACAACACACAGGACUUGAUUAGCAAAGCCUUGUAUCCAAUAAAUAGUUCAAAAAAAAGUGAGACUGAUAUUAACCGAUCAAAUUGAUAAAGUUUGGACAUUUGCGGAACUUGAACAUGGUUGCUUUUAGACAUUAUCAUAAGACAUUUGCUGUCUCUAGAUUGAUCGGGUGCAACCAGCAGCCAAUAAACUAUGAUCAACUUCUUCAGGAAAUGAUAAAUACUAGAAAUGAGAGAAUUUGAUGUACAUGUACGCUAAUAGAUAUUGCAAAACACGUAACUGAAAUCUUAGACUGCUACUAGACAUACUUGAAAUAGGUGAUGAUUGGUGAGGCUCUGAAAUCAAAGACGUCAGCCAUCCGACUACAUCUAGUUUUGCACGCCACUUUGUUUCAGAAUUUAUGGUACUUGUAUGCCCAAACGCAUCCAAAUAAUCCUUCGUGACAACGUAGAUCAUGUGCUUUGCACUUUUUUCAGUACCCACCACGGCAAGUAACUCUCCUAAUGAAUCCUUCAAGUAGUAGUGCACAACACGACGGCCCUUCUCCUUAGAAACACGGCGUUCUUCCCACGAAAAAAACACGCGAUUAUUUGUAUUCAUCCUGAUGCUACACGAAACAAUUUGUAUUAAUCAGAAACAGCCUAGUUCUUAAACACCCUCAUCCCAGAAACAUAAACAAAUCAUUUUAGGUAACAAACAUUUUGGAAAAACAAUCCAACGCAGUCACAAACAAGAAGUAGCGGAAGUACAAGAAACAAAAAAUAAUAACAAAAACAGUAACAGCAGCAAGAGAUAGUAACAGAACAGAACUACAACAAAACAACACAAUAAUCGAGGAACAACAGUAGUAACAGAAUCGAAGGACAAGAAACUACAUUAAUGGACAGCAAGAGUCAUGGAGCAAACUAAUCCUCCCAAGUUCUGUUACAAUUUAGGAACCGAUCGAACAAACAGAAAUGAUUGUAACUACGAACAGUAGACACAAAGAACAGAUCUUUCCAACGAUUAGCUCCGGAUGACAAUAUAAACAAUGAAAAACAGCAUCAAAAAACAAACCCCAAAUGAAACACACAUUUUGCGUCAUCCAAAACUAAUCCUAAUUCCAGAAAAGUCACAAAGAACAUUUUUUUUUUCAAGAGUAACAACCAAGGACCAAAAUCACAACAAAGCCCAAGCAGCUUGAAAAACGAAAUGGGGUUUGUUGAUUUUCAAAGAUUAACCAUUUACAAGAACUAGUCGAGAGCUUAAACACCCUCAUUCAGAAACAUAAACAAACAUUUUAGGCUAAAGAGUCACGAGGAAAAAUAAUCUAAGUUCCUGUAAACAGAAAUAAUUGUAACUAAGAAAUUAGACACAAAAAUGUGUUUCAUUUGAAGAUUGUGGUUUGAUGAUGUUUUCUCACUGUGAAUUUGGUAGGGGUUGGUAAUCUUGAAAUAAAUUGUCCGGUCUUUAAUGAAAAACAUCAUCGAACCACAACCGCAAAUGAAACACAGACAUUUUUGUAGAAUCCAAAUAUAAACUAUUCUUAAUUCAUGAAAACUCUCAAUACAACUCAGCUACAAAGACCGGAUAUUUUUUUCAAGAUUACCAACCCCAGCUGUGAAUUUGGCAGGGGUUGGUAAUCUUGAAAAAAAUAUCUGGUCUAUGUAGCUGAGUUGCCUCAAUACAACUUAGCUACAAAGAACGGACAAUUUUUUUCAAGAUUAUCAACCCAUACCAAAUUCACAGUGAAAAAAUACCAUCAAACCACAACCUCAAAUGAAACAUAGACAUAAUUUUGUUUAAUCCAAAGAUAAACUAACCUUAAUUCAAGAAAACUCGCAAUACAACUCAGCUACAAAGAACAAAUAAUUUUUUUCAAGAUUACCAACCCCUACCAAAUUUACAAUGAAAAAACAUCAUCAAACCACAACCUCAAAUGAAACACAAACAGAAUUUUGUUUAAUGCAAAGAUAAACUAACCUUAAAUUCCAGAAAACUCUCAAUACAACUCAGCUACAAAGAACAAAUAAUUUUUUUUCAAUAUUGCCAACCCCUAUCAAAUUCACAAUGAGAAAACACCAUCAAACCACAACCUCAAAUGAAACAUAGACAUAAGAUAAACUAACCUUAAUUCAAGAAAACUCUCAAUCCAACUCAGCUACAAAGAUCGGAUAACUUUUUUCAAGAUUGCCAACCCCUAUCAAAUUCACAAUGAGAAAACACCAUCAAACCACAACCUCAAAUGAAACAUAGACAUAAGAUAAACUAACCUUAAUUCAAGAAAACUCUCAAUACAACUCAGCUACAAAGACCAGAUAUUUUUUUUCAAGAUUACCAAACAAGGACAAAAAUCACAAUGAAAAAACACCCUCAAACCACAACCUCAAAUGAAACACAGACAGAAUUUUUCUUAAUCCAAAGACAGACUAACAAUUUUUUUUUUCAAUACAAAGAACAGAUUUUUUUUUUCAAGAUUACCAAACAAGGACCAAAACCAAAAUGAAAAACGAAAAGGGGUUUGAUGAUUUUCAAAGAUUAAACAAGUACGAGAACAAAAACAUACAACAGUGAACCAGCAUUGAUCAUCAGACAACCAAGUGAUCACACUUAUAACAAAGGUUGAAAAAGCAAAACAAGCAACAAAAAGAGAGCCCGGAAUUCAAGAAAAACAAGUUAAGCACGUAACUACUAGUAGUAACUCACCCUGAAAAUAGCAAAAACUUUGUUGCUUUAUGGUGUAAAGAGAGGAGAAAAAGGUUGAUAAAAAAGCCAAAGAGUGAUGAGCUGUUGAGCAAGAGGUGAUGGUUAGGGAAGUGGAGAGAGUAAAGAGGAAAAGAACAACAAAGCCAGAUGCCAUUGUUGUUUGAACUUGUUAGUUUGCCGCUGUGACAUGUGGGAGCAAAAUGAGGGAGAAACACAAAACUUGAAACGUUUGAAAUUUUGGCCUUUCACACUAAACAAAAUUCAGAAAAAAAAAAUUAAAAAAAAAAAAUCUGAAUUUUAAUAGUAGCGCUGGAGCGUCGGAGUAACUAGUAAAGUUGUCUUCGUGCGACUAGUAGGUGACCUUUUAAGUCGUGAAAGCAACCUCUCAGAGAAACGUAGGUUAAGAUUCUUUGUUUCAUGAUCAAGGUGUACGGGCCAACUUGCGCACACCUCGACUAAUUCCACGGGAUAUCUGCUGUCUCACACCAGCAAAAGAUAUUAGGUAACUCUGUCCAUCAAAUCUAGAACAAAUGGAAAGAAAUCAUCUCGUAUAAAAUUGCGUACAAUUAACUCCACAUGAGGUAAGAUAAGUACAAUUAACUCUCACGAUACGAUCCUUCCCUUGAAAACAACCUCUUAGAGAAACGUAGGUUAAGAAUAUUUUUUUAUGAUCGAGGUGUCCGGGCCAACUUACGCACACCUCGACUAAUUCCACGAGAUAUAGGCCGUCUCACACUAGCAACAGAUAUCAGGUAACUCUGUCCACCAAGCGUAGAACAGAUGGGAAGAAAUCUGAUUAAUAGUAGCACAGGAGCGUCGGAGUAACUAGUAAAGUUGUCUUCAUGCCACUAGGAAGUGACUUUUUAAGUCGUGAAAACAACCUCUUGGAGAAACGUAGGUUAAGAUUCUUUUUUUUUUAUAAUCGAGGUGUACGGGACAACUUGCACGCACCUCGACUAAUUCCACCGGAUAUCUGCCGUCUCACACCAGCAACAGGUAUCGGGUAACUCGGUCCACCAAGCAUAGAAAAAAUGGGAAGAACCUACCUAGUGUACGAUUGCGUACAAUUAACUCUCACGAUACGAUCCUUCCCUUGAAAACGGAGGUUAAGAUUCUUUUUUUUAUGAUCGAGGUGUCCGGGCCAACUUACGCACACAUCGACUAAUUUCACGGGAUAUAUGCCAUCUCACACUAGCAACAGAUAUCAGGUAACUUUGUCCACCAAGCAUAGAACAGAUGGGAAGAUACUACCUAGUGUACGAUUACUUACAAUUAACUACACAUGGGGUAAGAUGUGUACAAUUAACUCUCACGAUACUAUCCUUCCCUUGAUUCUGUGCAUAGCGGGAGUUAGUGCACGAGCUGACCUUUUGAAUUCUAAUAGUAAUAAACUUUUAAAUUCUAUUGAAAUACUUACAAUUUUUAAAUAUUAAUUAGUAAUUCUGAAUAAGGUGGGAAGGUUAUAUAUGAUAAAGAUCGUCUUUAAUUUGUUUAAGAUUGAGGCAUAUUAGUAGACUAAUUAAGUAGUUACUCUCUAUUCCAAUUUAUGUGACACAAUUUUUGAUAUUGAAACUUCUAAAUUUUGAUCAUAGUUUUGGAUAUAGAAGCUUUAAUUUUUUUUUUUUUUGAAAGUUAAUUUAUAUAUUUGAAAAAUUAUUAUGAAUCACAAUAAUUAACGACUUAAAAUAUUUGAAAUUCCAGCUAUAUCACAUAAAAUAAAAUAAAGAAGUAGAAAUUACUACAAAUUACAAAUAGCUAUAGUGAAAGCAUAUUUUGUAUACUGUAUGCACAACAUGUAUACUUUGUAUGUUAUUGAACUAAAUGAUUCAGACCCCUAAUUAUCUCAAACUAAUCAGGCCAACUAAUAUCAAAUACCUUAUUUAAACCCAAAAAAAAAGGAAAAAUUACAUAACAUCACAACUUAUCUUUACUAAACUAUAUAAAAUUUCUGUUCUUUUUAUUAAAUACCUAAAUUCGUUUUCUAAAAAAGAAAAAUGGAUACAUCCACAAACCUAUAAAUUUACGAAUACAUAAUUUUUAGUAUGUAUCUCCCUUUGGNNNNNNNNNNNNNNNNNNNNNNNNNNNNNNNNNNNNNNNNNNNNNNNNNNNNNNNNNNNNNNNNNNNNNNNNNNNNNNNNNNNNNNNNNNNNNNNNNNNNNNNNNNNNNNNNNNNNNNNNNNNNNNNNNNNNNNNNNNNNNNNNNNNNNNNNNNNNNNNNNNNNNNNNNNNNNAUAGAAAAUAAUUAUUUAUGUAAAUUUUAUUUUUUUGAAAAAGAAAAAAAAACUAUGCCAACCAAGCCUUUGGUAAAGUGCCUCAUGUUUGGGCUCUCCAUAUUUGAUAAUAUGUGCUUGGGUUGACUGGCCCAGUCCAUUUGGACUAGUCCACCCGGGCUUUGAGUUUUAUGGGCUAGGCCGGGCUGACCCAUCAAAAAAUACCAAACUCGCACCAUUACUUUGUGGACUACGGGCCUCACGGGUCAGCCUAUUUUUUAAACAGAAAAUUGAAUGUCAUAAACCUAAAUAUGGGUGACUUUAGAUAUUUGACACCAAAUAAGAAUGUCUUUGAAGAAUAGCCUUCCUUACUUUUUAAUAUACUAAAAGUACCAUUUUGCCCCUCUACACCUCAACUAUAUUUUUAAACUUUUCAUACUCAUUUAUCUCAAAUCUUAAUUUUUAUUAUUUUUACUUUUUCCUUUAAUUUUAUUAAUCUAUUUUUUAUUAUUUUAAAAUUUUUAUUUUUUCCUUUAAUUUUAUUAUUUUCACUUCAUAUUUUUUCUUUAAUUAUAUUUUCAUGUUUUAAUUUAUUUGUCUCAACCUUGAUUUUUUUCUCUUUUUUUUUUCUAAAGCAUUAUCUAUUUCUUUUUUUUUUAUUUUUAUUUUUAAUUCAUUUGUCUUUAACCUUUAUUUUUCUUUUUAUUUUUUAUUUUUAUCAGUUCUCUUUUUUCCCCUCAUUUUUCUCAAACUUUAUAUUUAUUUUUUCCUCUCAUUUUAUAUUUUCUCAAUUUUUUUAAUUCUUCACUUUUUUUAUUUAGUUUUUUCUUUCCUUUUUUUCUCCUUAUCUUUUUUUUAUUUCUCUAUUUUGUUUGAUUGCUUUUUUCUUUUUUCAGUUCUCUUUUUUCCCCCUCAUUUUUCUCAAACUUUAUUUUUAUUUUUCCUCUCAUUUUUAUUUUUCUCAAAUUUUUAGUUUUUUUUCUUUUUUCAUGAUCUUUAUUUUUUUUCUUUUCUUUUUUUCUCAAUCUUUUUUUAUUUCUCUAUUUUUUUUGAUCACUUUUUUCUUUUUUCUCAACUUCUAUUAUAUUUUGCUAAUAAAUAAAAAAUUAGAUAAUCCGCAAAGGGAUUUUCUUUUUUGACAUCAAAAUAAAUUUAAGGGCAUGAAUUAUUGUUACGAAGUUCUUUGAAAAUUUUUGAGAUAAGUCGUGUCUCUAAGGCAAGAAUUGUAGAAUAUCUCAUAAAUAAAGAUAUAAUAUGGUAGUGUCAACUCUUGUCCGUGGGGCAUGAUUUAUUAUUUGAAAGUCCUUGAGCAAAGUCUUGCCUCUAAGACAAGAGUUGUAGAACAUCCUAUAAAUGAAGACAUAAUGUGGUAGUGUCAAAUCUUGCCCGUGGGACAUAAUUUAUUAUUUGAAAGUCUUUUAAUUAAGUCUUGCCUCUAAGGCAAGAGUUAUAGAACAUCUCAUGAAUGAAGACAUAAUGUGGUAGUGCCAACUCUUGCCCGUGGGACAUAAUUUAUAGUUUGAAAGUCCUUGAGCUAAUUAAGUCUUGCCUCAAAGGCAAUAGUUGUAGAACAUCUUAAAAAUGAAAACAUAAGGUGGUAGAGUCAACUCUUGCCCGUGAGAAAUAAUUUGUAUCUUGAAAGUCCUUGAGCUAAUUAAGUUUUGUCUUUAAGGCAAUAGUUGUAGAACAUCUCUUAAAUGAAGACAUAACGUGGUAGAGUCAACUCUUACCCGUGGGGAAUAAUUUGUAGUUUGAAAGUCCUUAAGUCAAGUCUUGCCUCUAAGGCAAUAGUUGUAGAACAUCUCAUAAAUGAAAACAUAAUGUGGUAGAGUCAACUCUUGCCCGUGGGACAUAAUUUGUAGUUUGAAAGUCUUUAAGUCAAGUCUUGCCUCUAAGACAAUAGUUGUAGAACAUCUCAUAAAUGAAAACAUAAUGUGGUANNNNNNNNNNNNNNNNNNNNNNNNNNNNNNNNNNNNNNNNNNNNNNNNNNNNNNNNNNGUAAUAGUUGGAGAACAUCCCAUAAAUGAAAACAUAACGUGGUAGAGUCAACUCUUGCCCGUGGGGUAUAAUUUGUUGUUUGAAAGUCCCUGAGCUAAGUUUUGCCUCUAAGUUAAGAGUUAUAAAACAUUUCAUAAAUCAAAAUACAAUGUGGUAGUGUCCUCCAGAGGCCUGGGCCGAACUGUGAGGUGUCCUGUGCAUCUCGUGCCCAAUUUAUCAGGAUUUGCAACAACUAUGUAUGAAGGAAUCCAUUCCUAUAAAUCAAGCAAAGUUGAUGAAGAAACAGGGUAAAGGGAGAACGGACAAAUCAAUAUACUUAAGUUAUAGUCGCAGUGGUUAAGGUACCUCGAGCUUUUCAGGACCAUCACAAUCCAGGAUGUCAUCAUAUUGAACUUUCAAACGUUUUUCUGAUACUCGUAAGAUCUUACACCUGAACCAACAGCCUCUCAUGCCACUAUCCUGACAAAGAACCUCUAUGUUGUCACCAGCUUCAAAAGACAACUUAUGUUGAGACUCGACAAGCUGAAUUCCAGCCGGUCCACUGUUCGGAAACUUUACUUUUAACUUCGGGUAAUUUGGUAGCUUGGCCGUUGCUAUCUGCUUACCAGCCAUUAAUGCACUUCUCCUUUCACUUCUCGGGGUAUCUACAAGAUAAGGGAAGUCAACAAAGUUCAGCUGCCUGGCCAACAUUUCCUCAAACAAAAUAUACUCUAAAUCGGCUAGUAAUUAAAGGUACAUGGACAUCAAAGCGCAACAGGAAAUAUAAACCAAGUCAAUUAAAAUCAAAUCAUACAUAGAAAGUUCAAAAUUGCAUCGACAUUAAUAAGAUUACAAAAACCUCCAUCCGCCCCUCCAAAUCAACACCUCCUAUUUAAAUGUUUGUCAUGGGCCCGCCCAAGAAGUUUCACUUAAAUUACAUCCCGGAGACCGCACCCACUCACUAAUCCAUAGGCUAACACCCAUCGAAAAUUGCAAGAAAUCCUCAGUUUUUUCUAUUUCACUCAUAUGUCUUUAGAAGGGAUUUAGGCGACUUAGUAGGGAUUUUAACUAAGUCUAAACAAAACUAAUAAACAAAUAAACACAUAAAGGGGAAGGGAGGAGAAAGUAAAGGAUUUAGGCCAUUGAGCCAAAAUCAACGAGACCUGUCUUAGUCUAGUUGGGCUUCCGACCCAUUUCACCUGUCCUAAACUAUUUUUUGAGCCUUUGGCUUGAGUCUUGCACCACCUGUAUUAAAUACAACUUUGGCUUCAAGGCCGAAAUGAAUGAAUAAAUAAAUCACUAAAUAAAAAGAAGACAAUAAUUAAAAUUGAGACUUUUCAAGUCUUUUAGUGACCUCAUCAAUGGGUUUUGACCCAUUUUCCUUUUUCGUCUAUCUUCUAGCACCCGCACGCCAUGUAGUGGACGUUGGGUUUAAACUUCAAACUUCACUCGAAGGGGUGAGCCUCAUUUACCCAUUAUGAAACGCAAGAGGAGAGGAGUCCAUUUGGACUCGAGACAUUUUUUGCAUGUAAAGAAAAGAUAAAGAAAUUAAUAUACGUUCAAGGCAUAAAAGUGACAUAUUUUAAAGAAAAAGAAAAUAUCAAGAACCAAUUUUUGAAUGACAAUGAUAAGCACACUUGCACAAGAAUGAGAGUCAACAAAUAAAAUGCAAAGCAAAGAUACCUACUUACAUGCCUCAUGAUUUAUGUUCAUACAAGAAUGAAUAAAGGUAAAAGGAAGAAGGUCAUAUUCAAUGAAUUAAUACAAGAAACAAACAACGUAACCUUGCGAAAGUAAAGGGAUGAGACAACAAGGAAAAUACUCAUGACUUCUAAAAUUAAACAAACAUAGAUACUAAUCCAUAUAACAAAAGAAAAUAAAGCUUAACUUUUCAAGCAAAAGAAUCCUAAAUCUCAAUUAAGGCGACAUUAACGAAAAUUCAUACAUCUAAAUCACAAUCAACAUUUUAUGGAAAAACACGUAACGACCUAUGGUUUAUAUUUCUAAGACAUCGUUGAUUCUCUUUUGACAUUAUGAAUAAAAGAGAGACAUGAAUCAAGUCUUUACACACACAAAGCGCACAUAUAACAAUCCAGAGUAAGAAAAUAAGAAUAAAAGUUUAACAUUUCUAAAAGUGAAAUAUCGUUUCACAAUCAUACUAUGUAGUAAGCAAAUGACAAAUUCUUGACUUAACUAAUUACUAUUUUUAUUAAGGCGCAACAAAUAAUAAUAAUUAUUCUUCCAACAUAAAAUAAACAACUUUACAUGCUAAAAAAAACAUAUCUACUAACAAUAAGUUUAAACAAGACAUGAGUAUUAUUUUUCAAGUAAAGAUCUAAACUUUAUCCAAAAUAAUCAAAUAAUAAAGUAAAAAAAAGAGAAACAAUCAAUAUUAUCUAUUCUUUUCAACAUAAAGGAAACAACUUUACAUGCUAAAAACAAAUAUAUCUACCAACAAUGAGUUUAAACAAGACAUGGGUACGUCUUUUCAAAUAAAGAUCUAAAAUUUAUCCAAAAUAAUCAAAGAAUAAGGUCAAAAGGGAAAACAAUCAAUAUUAACUAUUCUUUUCAACAAAAAGAAAAUAAUUUUACAUGCUAAAAAUAAACAUAUUCAACAACAAUGAGUUUGAACAAGACAUGAUUAUGUUUUUCAAGCAAAGAUCUAAACUUUAUCCAAAAUAAUCAAAGAAUAAGGCGAAAAGGCAAAACAUUCAACAUUAACUAUUCUUUUAAACAUAAAGAAAAUAACUUUACAUACUAAAAACAAAUAUAUCCAACAACAGUGAGUUUAAACAAAGCAUAAAUACAUAUUUUAAGCAAAUAUUGAAACUUUAUCUGAAAUAAUCAAAGAAUAAAGUCAAAAAAGGCACAUACAACUAUUGCUAGCUCAUUUUUAUAUCAUGAACAUGAAAAUAAUUAGACUAUCGAUACCACAACGUCCUAGGGCCUUCAAGGCCAUCUACAACAUACAAUCCCAGCUAACAAAAUUAUAUCUACGAACUACGAAGAAGAAAAAGAUGAAGAAGAAAAUAAUAAUAAAAACUAAAAUUAAAAAAAGGUGUGUUUACCUUUUGGGGGGCAGCAAAAUGAGACUACGAGUUUCGUCGGAAUCAACUACCACCGAAAAACGUCGCGACCAACUCUAUGAAAUAAAAACUUUUACUAAAUAAAAAUAACUAUUUUGCUCAAAAGGAUUUUUUCACCUUUCUAGCUUCUUUUUUUUCUUCAUUUUUUUUUCUCUCUACCAAAAUAAUGGUAGUAUUUAUAGGAGAGAAUGAGAUAUUUUUUUCUCUUUUCCACCAAUGUGGGAGAAAAGUAUUUAUAGGAAAGGAUAGAGAUUUAUUUCUUGUCAUCCACUAAUGUGGGAGAAAAAGCAUUUAGGGGGAUUUUUCGAAUGUAAAAAUUAAAGAUAAAGUGAGGUGGAAGAUAAUGAGGGGGGAAAUAGUACAAUGUAGUACAAUCUUUGAAUUUUAAAAUUGGAAAAAGACAAAGUUGGGGGGAAUAGUACAAUGUAUUACAAUUUGAAUUUAUUUUUUGAUGGGAAUUGGGUAAAAGUUAUGAGAGUUCUUGAGAAUUUUGGGGUUAUUUAAAAUAUAACCCGAAUUGAAAUUUAAAAUUUAGCCAUAUUUAUUUAUUUUGACCAAAUUAAAAAUUAAUUGACGAAUUGCAUUGCAAUUAUGACCAAUUUUCAAUUAUGGUCAAAUCUAAUAGAUUGGCUAAAUUAAAUUAAAAUUNNNNNNNNNNNNNNNNNNNNNNNNNNNNNNNNNNNNNNNNNNNNNNNNNNNNNNNNNNNNNNNAUCAAAUGCAUAUUUAUUCAAAUAAAUUAUUUUUGAGAAUAAAUUAUAUUUAAAUUAUGAUUUUAAUCAUUUCAAUUUAUAUUUCAAGAUGAGCCUUAAUUAAAUCCGAUAUUUUGUAAAAUAAAUAUUUUAGUAACAAGUUAUAUAAUCUCGUAUAAGUGAACACGAUAGCAUAUAAUUGCUACUUAAAAUGACAAAAUCACGUACAAAAAAUAUUUUAAUUUUUUUUAUUUGGAUGAAAUAAUUAUUUUGGUUUUAUUAAAAACUGCACGGUCAAUUUUUGGCCCACAUCACGCCCAUUCCCCGAUCCCACCCCAAAAACCGUGGGCUAUAGCACACCGAUUUUGCUCGAAAAUGCCUUAUUCACACCGUUUCGCCCGUUUGCCCACCCAAAUCGCCUCCAAAAAUUAAACAGACCGCAUGUGAAUGAUCCCCAACCUCCCUAGCACGUCUCGAUCGAUUUUUGGCCGACAGCAUGCCCGGACCCCGGGCCCACCCCCAAAACUGUGGGCUAUUGCACACCAAUUCAGCCCAAAAAUGCUCCGUUCAUGCUAUUUCGCCUUUUUGUCCACCCAAAUGGCCACAAAAAUUAAACGGACCACAAAGGGACGAUCAUCAACAUUCCUGGCAUGCCCCGGUCGAUUUUCAGCCUACAGCACACCCGAACCCUAGGCCAACCCCCAAAACCGUGGACUAUAGUACACCGAUUAGGUGUGAAAAUGCUCCGUUCGCGAUGUUUCGACCGUUUGUUACCCAAAUGGCCAUGAAAAAUUAAACGACCCACACUGGCAGGAUCCUCAACCUACCUGGCAUGCCUCGGUCGAUUUUUGACCAACAGGAAGCCCGGACGCUAGGCCCACCCCCAAAACCAUGGGCUAUAGCACACCGAUUUGGCCUGAAAAUGCCCCGUUCGCAUCGUUUCGCCUGUUUGUCCACCCAAGCGGCCAAUAAAAAUUAAACAGACCACACUAGGAUGAUCCCCAACUUCUGUGGCAUUCCACGGUCGAUUUUUGGCCCACAAAAAGCCCGUUCCCCGAUCCCACCCCCAAAAUCGUGGGCUAUAGCACACCGAUUUGGCCCAAAAAUGCCCUGUUCGCCUCGUUUCGCCCGUUUGUCCACCUAAAUGGCCACGAAAAAUUAAACUAACCACACUGGAAUGAUCCCCAACCUCCCUAGAAUGCCUGGACCCCGGGCCCACCUCCAAAACUGAGGGCUAUAGCACACCGAUUUAGCCCUAAAGUACCCCAUUCGCACCGUUUGGCCCGUUUGUCCACCCAAAUGGCCACGAAAAAUUAAACGGACCAAACUGGGAUUAUCCCCAACCUUUCUAGCAUGCCUAGGUCAAUAUUUGGCCAACAACACGCCCGAGCCCCGAGCCUACACUCGAAAAUGUGGGCAAUAGCAAGCCGAUUUGGCUCAAAAACACCCCGUUCGCGCUAUUUUGCCCGUUUGUCCAUGCAAAUGGCCACAAAAAAUUAAACGAACUACACUGGGACGAUCCCCAUCCUCCAUGGCACACCUCAAUCAAUUUUCGUCCUACAGCACGCCCAACCCCAAAAUUAUGGGCUAUAGCAGACCGAUUUGGCCCAAAAAUGCCCCAUUCGCGUCAUUUCUCCUGUUUGUCCACCCAAAAGCUCCCUGGCACGCUUCGGUCAAUUUUUGGCCCACAGCACGCUUGGACCCCGAGCCCACCCCUAAAACUGUAGGCUAUUGUACACCAAUUUGGCCCGAAAAUGCCCCGUUUGCGCCAUUUCGACUUUUUGUCCACCCAAAUGGCCACGAAAAUUAAACGGACCACAUUGAGACGAUCCCCAACCUUCCUGGAAUGCCCCGAUCGAUUUUUCACCCACAGCACACCCGGAACCUGGGCCAACCCACGAAACUGUGGACUAUAGCACACCAAUUAGGCCCGAAAAUGACCUGUUUGCGUCUUUUCAACCAUUUGUCACCCAAAUGGCCACAAAAAUUAAACGACCCAUACUGGGAUGAUCCCCAACCUCCCUGGCACACCCCGAUCGAUUUUCAGCACACAACACGCCCGGACCCAGGGCCCACUCCCAAAAUCAUGGGCUAUAACAUACCAAUUUUGCCCAAAAAUGCCCCGUUCGUCCUGUUUCGCCCGUUUGUCCACCCAAAUUGCCAUGAAAAAUUAAAUGAACCAUACUAGGACGAUCCCCACCCUCCGUGGCACAACCCAAUCAAUUUUUGGCCCACAGCACGCCAGAAUCCCGAGUCCACCCCCAAAACCGUGGGCUAUAGCACACCGAUUUGGCUCGAAAAUGCCCUGUUCACGCCCUUUCGCCCGUUUGUCCACCCAAAUGGCCAUGAAAAAUUAAAGACUAAACUGGGAUGAUCCCCAACCUCCUUGGCAUGCCUUGGUAGAUUUUCAGCCUACAGCACGCCCGGACCCCAGGCCUACCCCCAAAACCGUGGGCUAAAGCACAUCGAUUUGGCUAGAAAAUGCCUCAUUCGCACCGUUUCGCCCGUUUGUCCACCCAAAUGGCCACAAAAAAUUAAACGAACCACAUUGGCAUGAUCCCCAUCCUCUAUGGCUUGUCCUGGUCAAUUUUUGUCCCACAGCACGCCCAGACCCCGAUCCCACCCCGAAAACCAUGGGCUAUAGCACACCGAUUUUGCUCGAAAAUGGCUUAUUCACACCGUUUCGCCCGUUUGUCCAUCCAAAUCGCCUCCAAAAAUUAAACGGACGGCACUUGAAUGAUCCCCAACCUCCAUGGCAUGCCCCGGUCGAUUUUUGGCCGACAGCAUGCCCGGACACCAGGCCCACCCCUAAAACUGUGGGCUAUUGUACACCAAUUCAGCCCAAAAAUGCUCCGUUAAUGCUAUUUCGCCUUUUUGUCCACCCAAAUGGCCAUAAAAAUUAAACGGACCACAAAGGGACGAUCCUCAACCUUCCUGGCAUGCCCCGGUCAAUUUUCAGCCUACAGCACACCCGAACCCUGGGCCAACCCCCAAACCUUGGACUAUAGUACACCGAUUAGGCGUGAAAAUGCCCCGUUCGCGAUGUUUUGAUCGUUUGUCACCCAAAUGGCCAUGAAAAAUUAAACGACCCACACUGGGAUGAUCCUCAACCUACCUGACAUGCCUCGGUCGAUUUUCGACCAACAGGAAGCCCGGACCCCAGGCCCACCCCCAAAACCAUGGGCUAUAGCACACCGAUUUAGCCUGAAAAUGCCCCGUUCGCAUCGUUUCGCCUGUUUGUCCACCCAAGCCGCCAAGAAAAAUUAAACGGACCACACUGAGAUGAUCCCCAACUUCCGUGGCAUGCCACGGUCAAUUUUUGGCCCACAUCACGCCCAUUCCCCAAUCCCACCCCAAAAACCGUGGGCUAUAGCACACCGAUUUUGCUCGAAAAUGCCUUAUUCACACCGUUUCGCCCGUUUGCCCACCCAAAUUGCCUCCAAAAAUUAAACAGACCGCAUGUGAAUGAUCCCCAACCUCCCUAGCACGUCUCGAUCGAUUUUUGGCCGACAGCAUGCCCGGACCCCGGGCCCACCCCCAAAACUGUGGGCUAUUGCACACCAAUUCAGCCCAAAAAUGCUCCGUUCAUGCUAUUUCGCCUUUUUGUCCACCCAAAUGGCCACAAAAAUUAAACGGACCACAAAGGGACGAUCAUCAACAUUCCUGGCAUGCCCCGGUCGAUUUUCAGCCUACAGCACACCCGAACCCUAGGCCAACCCCCAAAACUGUGGACUAUAGUACACCGAUUAGGCGUGAAAAUGCUCCGUUCGCGAUGUUUCGACCGUUUGUCACCCAAAUGGCCAUGAAAAAUUAAACGACCCACACUGGCAGGAUCCUCAACCUACCUGGCACGCCUCAAUCGAUUUUUGACCAACAGGAAGCCCGGACCCUAGGCCCACCCCCAAAACCAUGGGCUAUAGCACACCGAUUUGGUCGGAAAAUGCCCUGUUCGCAUCGUUUCGCCUGCUUGUCCACCCAAGCGGCCAAUAAAAAUUAAAUAGACCAUACUAGGAUGAUCCCCAACUUUCGUGGCAUUCCACGGUCGAUUUUUGUCCCACAAAAAGCCCGUUCCCCGAUCCCACCCCCAAAACCGUGGGCUAUAGCACACCGAUUUGGCCCAAAAAUGCCCUGUUCGCCUCGUUUCGCCCGUUUGUCCUCCUAAAUGGCCACGAAAAAUUAAAAUAACCACACUGGGAUGAUCCCCAACCUCCCUAGAAUGCCUGGACCCCGAGCCCACCUCCGAAACUGAGGGCUAUAGCACACCGAUUUAGCCCGAAAGUACCCCAUUCGCACCGUUUGGCCCGUUUGUCCACCCAAAUGGCCACAAAAAAUUAAACGGACCAAACUGGGAUUAUACCCAACCUUUCUAGCAUGCCUAGGUCAAUAUUUGGCCAACAACACACCCGAGCCCCGAGCCUACACUCAAAAAUGUGGGCAAUAGCAAGCCGAUUUGGCUCAAAAACACCCCGUUCGCGCUAUUUUGCCCGUUUGUCCAUGCAAAUGGCCACAAAAAAUUAAACGAACUACACUGGGAUGGUCCCCAUCCUCCAAGGCACACCUCAAUCAAUUUUCGUCCUACAGCACGCCCAUCCCCAAAAUUAUGGGCUAUAGCAGACCGAUUUGGCCCAAAAAUGCCCCAUUCGCGUCGUUUCUCCUGUUUGUCCAUCCAAAAGCUCCCUGGCACGCUUAGGUCGAUUUUUGGCCCACAGCACGCUUGGACCCCGAGCCCACCCCUAAAACUGAAGGCUAUUGUACACCAAUUUGGCCCGAAAAUGCCCCGUUUGCGCCAUUUCGACUUUUUGUCCACCCAAAUGGCCACGAAAAUUAAACGGACCACAUUAAGACGAUCCCCAACCUUCCUGGAAUGCCCCGGUCGAUUUUUCACCCACAGAACACCCGGACCCCGGGUCAACCCCCGAAACUGUGGACUAUAGCACACCGAUUAGGCCCGAAAAUGCCCUGUUUGCGUCUUUUCAACCGUUUGUCACCCAAAUGGCCACAAAAAUUAAACGACCCAUACUGGGAUGAUCCCCAACCUCCCUGGCACACCCCGAUCGAUUUUCAGCACACAACACGCCCGGACCCAGGGUCCACUCCCAAAAUCAUGGGCUAUAACAUAUCAAUUUUGCCCAAAAAUGCCCCUUUCGUCCUGUUUCGCCCGUUUGUCCACCCAAAUUGCCAUGAAAAAUUAAAUGAACCAUACUAGGACGAUCCCCACCCUCCGUGGCACAUCACCGUCGACUUUUGGACCACAGCAUGCCCGGACGCCUAUCCGUCCCUCAAAAUCUUGGGCUAUAGAAAAUCGAUUUGGCCCGAAAAUGCCCCAUUCACACUGUUUCACCCGUUUGUUUGCCCAAUUGGCCACAAAAAAAUUAAACGAACCACACUAGGACAAUCCCAACCUCCCUGGCAUGCCCCAUCCGAUUUUAAGCCCGCAGCACGCCCGGACUGCGGGCCCACCCUCAAAACUGUGGGAUAUAGCACACCGAUUUGGCCCGCAAAUGCUCUGUUCGCGCUGUUUUGCCCGUUGGUCCACCUAAAUGGCCACAAAAAAUUAAACUGACCACACUGGGAUGAUACCCAACCUACCUGGCACGCUCCGAUUGAUUUUUAGCCCACAACACUCCCAGACCCCGGGGCCACCUCCAAAACCAUGGGAUAUAGCACACCGAUUUAGCCCAAAAAUGCCCCGUUCAUGCAGUUUCGCCAAUUUGUCCUCCCAAAUGGCCACAAAAAAAUUAAAACGACCAUACUGGGAGGAUCCCCAACCUCCCUGGCACGCCCAGGUCUUUUUUCGGCCCACAGCAUGCCCGGACCCCGGGCUCACCCCCAAAACCAUGGGCUAUUGAACACCAAUUUCGCUUGAAAAUGCCCCGUUCAUGCUAUUUUGCCCGUUUGUCCACCCAAAUGACCACAAAAAAUUAAACGAACCACAGUGGGACGAUCCCCAAUCUUCCUGGCAUACCCCGAUGUAUUUUUGUCCCACAGCACACCCAGACCCCAGGCCCACCCCCAAAACCGUGGACUAUAGCACACCGAUUUGGCUCGAAAAUUUCUCGGUCGCAUCGUUUCGCCCAUUUGUUCGCCCAAAUGGCCACGAAAAACUAAACUGCCCACACUGGGACGUUCCCCAACCUCCAUGGCAUGCCCCGGUCAUUUUUGGCCCACAGCACAACCAGAACCAGGGCCCAACCCCCAAAACAGUGGGCUAUAGCACACCAAUUUGGCCCGAAAAUGCUCCAUUCACACCGUUUCGCCCGUUUGUCCACCCAAAUGGCCAUGAAAAAUUAAACGGACCGCACUAGGACAAUCCCAACCUCCCUGGCAUGCCCCGGUCAAUUUUUGGCCGACAACACGCCCGAACCCCGGGCCCACCCCCAAAACUGUGGGCUAUUGCACACCAAUUCGGCCCAAAAAUACUCCGUUCGCGCCAUUUUGCCUUUUUUUCCACCCAAAUAACCACGAAAAUUGAAUGGACCAUAGAGGGACGAUCCUCAACCCUCUUGGCAUGCCCCGAUCGAUUUUCAGACCACAGUACACCCGAACCCCGGGCCAACCCCUAAAACCGUGGACUAUAGUACACUGAUUCGGCCUGAAAAUGCCCCGUUUGUGUUAUUUCGACCGUUUGUCACCCAAAUGGCCAUGAAAUAUUAAACGGCCCACACUGGGAUGAUCCUCAACCUACCUGGCAAGCCCGAAUCCCAGGGCCACCCCCGAAACCAUGGGCUAUCGCACACCGAUUUGGCCUGAAAAUGCCCCGUUCGCGCUGUUUUGCCUGUUUGUCCUCCCAAGCGGCCGAGAAAAAUUAAACAGACCACACUUGGACGAUCCCCAACUUUCCUGGCAUGCCCCAAUCGAUUUUUGGACUACAUCACGCCCGUUCCUGAGCCCACCCCAAAAACCGUGGGCUAUAGCACACCGAUUUAGCCCAAAAUGCCUCGUUCGCCCCGUUUCGCCUGUUUGUCCACCUAAAUAACCACGAAAAAUUAAACUGAACACACUGGGUUGAUCCCCAACCUCCCUAGAAUGCCUAGGUUUAUUUUUUGCCCACACCAUGCCUGGACCUCGAGCCCACCCCCGAAAUCGAGGGCUAUAGCACACCGAUUUGGCCCGGAAAUGCCCCAUUCGCACCGUUUUGCCCGUUUGCCACCCAAAUAGCCACGAAAAAUUAAUCGGACCAAACUAGGAUGAUCCCCAACCUUUUUGUAUGCCCCGGUCAAUUUUUGACCUAUAGCACGCCCGAGCCCCGGGCCUACCCUCGAAACCGUAGGAAAUAGCACACCGAUUUGGCUUGAAAACACCCCGUUCGCGCCAUUUUGCCCGUUUGUCCACCCAAAUGGCUACAAAAAAUUAAACAAACCACACUGGGAUGAUCCCCAUCCUCCAUGGCACGCCUCAAUCAAUUUUCGACCUACAGAACACCCGAACCCCAGGCCCACCCCCGAAAUUGUGGGCUAUAGCACACCGAUUUGGCCCGAAAAUGCCCCAUUCGCGUCGUUUCUCCGGUUUGUCCACCCAAAUACUCACAAAAAAUUAAAAGAACCGUACUGGGAUGAUCCCCAACUACCCUGGCAUGCCUAGGUCGAUUUUUGGCCCACAGCACGCCUGGACCCCGGGCCCACCCCCAAAACUGUAGGCUAUUGCACACCAAUUUGGCCUGAAAAUACCCUGUUCGCGCCAUUUUGCCUUUUUGUGCACCCAAAUGGCCACAAAAAUUAAACGGACCACAUUGAGAUGAUCGUCAACCUUCCUGGCAUGCCCCAAUCGAUUUUUGGCCCACAUCACACCCGGACCCCAGGAUAACCCUCAAAACCGUGGACUAUAGCACACUGAUUAGGCCCGAAAAUGCACUGUUCGCGUCGUUUCAACCGUUUAUCACCCAUAUGGCCACAAAAAUUAAAAGACCCAUACUGGGACGAUUCCCAACCUCCCUGGCACACCCCGAUUGAUUUUCGGCACACAACACGCCCAGACCCAGGGCCCACUCCCAAAAUAGUGGGCUAUAGCAUACCAAUUUUGCCCAAAAAUGUCCCGUUCGUGCUGUGUCGCCCGUCUGUCCACCAAAAUUGCCAUGAAAAAUUAAAUGGACCAUACUAUGACGAUCCCCAACCUCCGUGGCACGUUCCGGUCAACUUUCGGACCACAGCAUGCUUGGACGCCGGUCCGUCCCCCAAAAUCCUAGGCUAUAGAAAAUCGAUUUGGCCCGAAAAUGCCCCGUUCGCACUGUUUCACCCGUUUGUCUGCCCAAUUGGCCACAAAAAAUUAAACGGACCACACUAGGACGAUCCCAACCUCCCUGGCACGCCCCAUCCUAAGCCCACAACACACCUGGAUCGCGGGCCUACCCUUGAAACCGUGGGAUAUAGCACACCGAUUUGGCCUGCAAAUGCUCUGUUCGCGCCGUUUUGCCCGUUUGUUCCCCCAAAUCACCACGAAAAAUUAAACUAACAACACUGGGAUGAUCCCCAACCUCCCUGGCAUACCCCAAUUAAUUUUUAGUCCACAGCACGCCAAGACCCCGGGGCCACCUCCAAAACCAUGGGCUAUUGCACACCGAUUUAGCCCAAAAAUGCCCGGUUCGCGCGGUUUCGCCAGUUUAUCCUCCCAAAUGACCACGAAAAAAUUAAACCGACCAUACUAGGAUGAUCCCCAACCUCCCUGGCAUGCCCAGGUCUUUUUUCAUCCCAUAGCACACCCGAACCCCCGGCUCACCCCCGAAAUCGUGGGCUAUUGCACACCAAUUUGGCUUGAAAAUGCCCCGUUCAUGCUAUUUUGCCCGUUUGUCCACCCAAAUGGCCACAAAAAAUUAAACAGACCACACUGGGAUGAUCCCCAAUCUUCCUGGCAUACCCCGAUCGAUUUUUGGCCCACAGGAGCACACCCGAACCCCAGGCCCACCCCCGAAACCGUGCACUAUAGCACACCAAUUUGGCUAAAAAAUUCUCCGUUCGCAUCGGUUUGCUUGUUUUUCCACCCAAAUGGCCACAAAAAAUUAAACGGACCACACUUGGACUUUCCCCAACCUCCCUGGCAUAUCCUGGUCAAUUUUUGGCCCACAACACGCACCAACCCUGGGCCCACCCCAAAACCAUGGGCUAUAGCACACGUAAAUGGCCACAAAAUAUUAAACGGACAACACUGGGAUGAUCCCAACCUCCCUGACAUGCCCCGAUCGAUUUUUGGUUCACAGCACACCCGAACCCCGAACCCCGAGCCCACCUCCAAAACCGUGGGCUACAGCACACAGAUUUGGCCCAAAAAUGCCCCGUCCACGCUGUUUCGCCCGUUUGUCCACCCAAAUGGCCACGAAAAAUUAAACAGACCACACUGGGACUAUCCCCAACCUCCCUGGCAUGCCCCAGUCGAUUCUUACCCACAUCAGGCCCUGACCCUUGGCCCACCCCCUAAAACCGUGGUCUAUGGCACACCAAUUUGGCCUAAAAAUGCACCGUCCGUGCCGUUUCUCCCGUUUGUCCACCAAAAUAGCCAUGAAAAAAUUAGACGGACCACACUAGAAUGAUCCCAACUUCCCUGGCAAGCCCCGAUCAAUUUUUUGCACACAGCACGCCCGGUCCCCGGGCCCACCUCCGAAACAAUGGGCUAUAGUACACCGAUUUGGCACGAAAUGCUUCGUUUGCACUGUUUUGCCUGUUUGUCUAGCAAUAUGGACACGAAAAAUUAAACAGAUCAAACUGGGAUGACCCCAACCUCUCUUGCAUGCGCCAGUUGAUUUUUGACCUACAGCACGCUCGGAGCCCGAGCCUACCCCCGAAACCAUAGGCUAUAGCACACAGAUUUAGCUCGAAAAUUCCCCAUUUGCACCGUUUCACCUGUUUGCCCACAUCACGCCCAAACCCCCAAGACCACCCCCAAAACCGUGGGCUAUAACACACCGAUUUGGCCCAAAAAUGCCCAGUCCGUGCUGUUUCGCCCGUUUGUCCACCAAAAUUGCCAUAAAAAAUUAAAUGAACUACACUGGGAUGAUCCCGAACUUCCCUAGCAUGCCUAAGUUGAUUUUCAGCACACAUCACGCUCGGACCUCGGGCCCACCCCCAAAACCGAGGGCUAUUGCAUACAAACUUGGCCGAAAAAUGCCCCGUUCACGCCGUUUCGCAUGUUUGUCCACCCAAAUGGCCAUGAAAAAUUAAACGGACUACACUGGGACAAUCCCCAAUCUUUCUGGCAUACCCCGGUUGAUUUUUGGGCCACAACACACCCGGAUCCUAGGCCUACUCCCGAAACUGUGGACUAUAGCAUACCGAUUUAGCUCAAAAAUUCCCCGUUCGCAUCGUUUCGCCCGUUUGUCCACCCAAAUGGCCAUAAAAAUUAAACGGCCCACACUGGGACGUUCACCAACCUCCCUGGCAAGCCCCGGUCGAUUUUUAUUUGAUAGCACGCCCGCAACCCUGGCCUACCCCCAAAACCGUGGGCUAUAGCACACCGAUUUGGCCCAAAAAUGCCCCGUUCGCGCCGUUUUGCCCAUUUGUCCUAUAGCACACCGAUUUGGAGCAAAAAUGCCCCGUUCGCACCGUUUUACCCGUUUGUCCACCCAAAUUGCCAUGAAAAAUUAAACGGCCCACACUGGGACGAUCCCCAACCUUCCUGGAAUGCCCCGGUCGAUUUUUUGCCCACAGCACACCCGGACCCCGAGCCAACAUCUAAAACCGUGGGCAAUACCACACCGAUUGGGAUCGAAAAUGUCCCAUUCGCGCCAUUACCCCCUUUGUCCACCCAAAUGGCCACAAAAAAUUAAACGAACCACACUGGGAUGAUCGCUAACCUCCCUGGAAUGUCCCAGAUAAUUUUUGACCCACAGCACGUCGGACCCCGGGCCAACCCCCAAAACCGUGGGCAAUAGCACACUCAUUUGGCCCGAAAUUGCACCGUUCUCGCCGUUUCUACCAUUUGUCCACCCAAAUUGCCACGAAAUAUUAAACGGACCACAUUUGGACGAUCCCCAACCUCCCUGGCAUAAAGGCCCCGUUCGCAUCGUUUCACCCAUUUGCCCACCUAAAUUUCCACAAAAAAUUAAACGGACUACACUGGGACGAUCCCCAACCUUCCUAGCAUGCCCCGAUCAAUUUUUUGCCCACGACACACUCGGACCCCGGGCCCACCCCCAAAACCAUAGGCUAUAGCACACUGAUAUGGCAAAAAAAUGGCCCAUCUGUGCCAUUUUGCUCGUUUGUCCACCAAAAUGGCCACAAAAAAAUUAAACGAACCAUACUGGGAUGAUCCCCAACCUCCCUGGCAUACCGCGGUCUAUUUUCGGCCCACAGCACACCCGUACCCAAGGCCCACCCCAAAAACCGUGGGCUAUAGCACACUGAUUUUGCCAGAAAAUGCCCCGUUCGUAUUGUUUCGCGUGUUUGUCCACCCAAAUGGCCAAAAAAAUUUAAACGGGCCAUACUGGGAUAAUCCCCAACCUUCCUGGCAUGCCCCAGUCGAUUUUCGGCCCACAGUAUGCCCAAACCCCGAGCCCACCCCUAAAACCGUGGGCUAUAGCACACCAAUUUGUCCCAAAAAUGCCCCGUUCGUGCCAUUUUGCCCGUUUGUCCACCCGAAUGGCCACGAAAAAUUAAACGGCCCACACUGGGAUGAUCCCCAACAUCCCUGGCAUGCCCUAGUCGAUUUUCAGCCCACAGCUCACCCGAACCCCGGGCCAACCCUGAAACUGUGGAAUAUAGCACACCGGUUGGGCCCAAAAAUGUCCCAUUCGCACCGUUUUGCCCCUUUAUCCACCCAAAUAGCCACGAAAAAUUAAAAAGACCACAUUGGGACGAUCCCCAACCUCCCUGGCAUACCCCGAUCAAUUUUUGGCCCACAGUUCGCCCGAAACCUAGGUCCACCCCCAAAACUGUGAGCUAUAGCACACCAAUUUUGCUUGAAAAUGCCCUGUUCACGCCGUUUCGCCCGUUUGUUCACCCAAAUGGCCAUGAAAAAUUAAACAGACUAUACUGGGACGAUCCCCAACCUCCCUGGCAUGCCCUAGUCGAUUUUUGGCAUACAGCACGCCCAAAUCCCUGGUCUACCCAUGAAACCAUGGGCUAAAGCACAUCAAUUUGGCCAGAAAAUGCCUCAUUCGCACCGUUUUGCCCGAUUGUCCACCCAAAUGGACUCGAAAAAAUAAACAAACCACAAUGGGAUGAUCUCCAACCUCUCUGGCACGCCUGGACCUCGGGCCAACCCCUAAAACCGGGGCCAAUAGCACACCGAUUUGCCCCAAAAAUGCGCUGUUCAUGUCGUUUCACCCGUUUAUCCACCCAAAUGGCCAUGGAAAAUUAAACAGACCAUACUUAGAUGAUCCCCAACCUCUCUGGCAUGCUUUGGUUGAUUUUUGGCCCACACCAUGCCUGAACGCCAGGCCCACCCCCGAAACGGUGGGCUAUAGCACACCUAUAUGGCCCACAAAGGCCCCGUUCGCAUUGUUUCGCCCGUUUGCACACCUAAAUGGCCAAAAAAUAUUAAAUGGACCACACUGGGAUGAUCCCCAACCUACCUGGCAUGCCCCGAUCGAUUUUUGGCCCACAGCAUGCCCAGACCCCCGGCCCACUCCUGAAACCGUGGGCUAUAGCACACCGAUUUGGCCCAAAAAUGCCCCGUCUGCGCCGUUUCACCCGUUUGUCCACCAAAAUUGCCGCAAAAAAUAAAAUGGACCACACUGGGACUAUCCCAAACCUCCCUAGCAAAGCCCGAUCAAUUUUUGACCUACAGCACGCCCGAACCCUGGGUCCAUCCCCAAAACCUUGGGCUAUAGCACACCGAUUUAGUCCAAAAAUGCCCCAUUUGCACCGUUUCAUGCGUUUGUCCACCCAAAUGGACACGAAAAAAAUUAAACGGACCAUACUGGGAUAAUCCCCAAACUUCCUGGCACACCCCGAUCAAUUUUUGAAAUAGAACACGCCCAAAAACCCCGGCGCACCCCAAAAAAAGUGGGCUAUAGGACACCAAUUUGGCUAAAAAAUGCCCUGUUCGCGUUAUAUUGCCCGUUUUUCAUCCAAAUGGUAACGAAAAAUUAAACGAAUCACACUGGGAUGAUCCCCAACCUUCCUGGCACACCCAGGUAGAUUUUUAGCCCCCAUCACGCCUAGACAUCAGGCCCACCCCAAAAUCGUGGGCUAUUGCACACCGACUUGGCCUGAAAAUGCCCAGUUCGCACCGUUUUGCCUGUUUGCCCACCCAAAUGUCCACAAAAAAUUAAACGGACCACUCUGGGAUGAUCCCCAACCUCCCUGGCACACCCCAUUCGAUUUUUGGACCACAGCUCCCCCGUACCCUGGGCCCACCCCCAAAAUCGUGGGCUAUAGCACACCGAUUUGGCUCAAAAAUGGCCCCUUCGCAGUGUUUCGCCCGUUUGUCCACCCAAAUGGCCAUGAAAAAUUAGACGGACCACACUGGGAUGAUCCCCAACCUACCUGGCAAUCCCCGGUCAAUUUUUGGCCUACAGCACGCCCAGACCCAGGGCCUACUCCCGAAACCAUGGGCUAAAGAACAUCGAUUUGGCCAAAAAAUGCCUUUUGCAUGCUAUUUCGCCCUUUUGUCCACCCAAAUGGCCACGAAAAAUUAAACAAACCACACUGGGAUGAUCUCCAACCUCUGUGACACGCCUCGGUAGAUUUUUGGCCCACAACACGCCCUAACCCAAUUAAACGAACCACAGUUGGACGAUCCCCAACCUCCUUAGCAUGCCCAAUUGAUUUUCUGCCCACAGUACUCUCGGGCCCCAGGUCCACGCCUAAAACUGUGGGCUAUAGCACACCAAUUUGGCCCAAAAAUGCCCUGUUUACACCGUUUUGCCCGUUUGUCCACCCAAAUGGCCACGAAAAAUUCAUCGAACCACACUUGGACUAUCCCAACUACUAGGCAUGCCCCAGUCAAUUUUAUUCCACAGCACCCCCAGACCCCGAGCCCACCCCCGAAACCGUGGGCUAUAGCACACCAAUUUGUUCUGAAAAUGCCCCAUUCAUGCUGUUUCGCCCAUUUGUCCUCCCAAAUGGCCACGAAAAAUAAAUGUACCUCACUGGGACGGUCCCCAACCUCCCUAGCAUACCUCAGUCAAUUUUUGGCCCACUGCACGCCCGAACCCCGGGCCCAACCCUGAAAUCGUGGGCUAUAGCACACCAAUUUGGCUUCAAAAUGCCCCAUUCGCGUCGUUUCACCUGUUUAUCCACCCUAAUGGCAACGAAAAAUUAAAAGGUCCACACUGGGAUGAUCCCCAACCUUCUAGCAUGCCAAGGUUAAUUUUCGGCCUACAGCACGCUCGAACACCGGGCACACCCCCGAAACCGUGGGCUAUAGCACACAAAUUUUGCCCGAAAAUGCUCCGUUCCCGCAGUUUUGCCCGUUUGUCCACCUUAAUGGCCACAAAAAUUAAACGGACAAUACUGGGAUGAUCCCUAACCUCCCUAGCAUACCCUGGUCAAUUUUUGGACCACAACACGCACGAACCCCGAGCCCACUCCCGAAACCAUGGGCUAUAGCACAUCGAUUUGGCUCGAAAAUGCCUUAUUUUUGCUGUUUUGCAGGUUUGUCCACCCAAAUAGUGACGAAAAAUUAAACGGACCACACUGGGAAGAUCCCCAACCUCCCUGGCACAUCCCGAUAGAUUUUCGGCCCACAUAACACCCGAACACCAGGCCCACCCCUAAAAUCAUGGGCUAUAGCACACCGAUUUCGCCCAAAAAUGCCCCGUUCGCGCCAUUUUGCUCGUUUGUCCAACCAAAUGGCCAAGAAAAAUUAAAUGGACCACACAGGGAUGAUCCUAAACCUCCCUAGCAUGCCCCAGUCAAUUUUCGAUGUACAACUCGCCAGGACCCUGGGCCUACCCCCAAAACCGUGGGCUAUAGCAUACCGAUUUGGCCCAAAAAUGCCCCAUUCCUAUUGUUUCGCCCGUUUUUCCACCCAAAUAGCCACAAAAAAAUUAAACGAACCAUACUGGAAUGAUCCCCAACCUUCCUGGAAUGCCCCGGUCGAUUUUUGGCCCAUAGAACGCCCGGACCCCGAACCCACCCCAAAACCGUGGGCUAUAGCACAUCGAUUUGGCCCGAAAAUGCCCCGUUCACACCGUUUCACCUGUUUGCCCUCCCAAAUAAUCAUAAAAAAUUAAACGAACCACACUGGGAUGAUUCCCAGCCUGUCUGGCACACCUCGAUUGAUUUUCAACCCACAGUACGCCUGGACCCCAGGCCCACCCCUAAAACAAUGGGCUGUAGCAUAUCAAUUUGGACAGAAAAUGCCCCGUUCGUGCCGUUUUGUCCAUUUAUCAACCCAAAUGGCCAUAAAAAAUUUAACGGACCAUACUAGGACGAUCCCAAACCUCCCUGGCAUUCCCCGAUCAANNNNNNNNNNNNNNNNNNNNNNNNNNNNNNNNNNNNNNNNNNNNNNNNNNNNNNNNNNNNNNNNNNNNNNNNNNNNNNNNNNNNNNNNNNNNNNNNNNNNNNNNNNNNNNNNNNNNNNNNNNNNNNNNNNNNNNNNNNNNNNNNNNNNNNNNNNNNNNNNNNNNNNNNNNNNNNNNNNNNNNNNNNNNNNNNNNNNNNNNNNNNNNNNNNNNNNNNNNNNNNNNNNNNNNNNNNNNNNNNNNNNNNNNNNNNNNNNNNNNNNNNNNNNNNNNNNNNNNNNNNNNNNNNNNNNNNNNNNNNNNNNNNNNNNNNNNNNNNNNNNNNNNNNNNNNNNNNNNNNNNNNNNNNNNNNNNNNNNNNNNNNNNNNNNNNNNNNNNNNNNNNNNNNNNNNNNNNNNNNNNNNNNNNNNNNNNNNNNNNNNNNNNNNNNNNNNNNNNNNNNNNNNNNNNNNNNNNNNNNNNNNNNNNNNNNNNNNNNNNNNNNNNNNNNNNNNNNNNNNNNNNNNNNNNNNNNNNNNNNNNNNNNNNNNNNNNNNNNNNNNNNNNNNNNNNNNNNNNNNNNNNNNNNNNNNNNNNNNNNNNNNNNNNNNNNNNNNNNNNNNNNNNNNNNNNNNNNNNNNNNNNNNNNNNNNNNNNNNNNNNNNNNNNNNNNNNNNNNNNNNNNNNNNNNNNNNNNNNNNNNNNNNNNNNNNNNNNNNNNNNNNNNNNNNNNNNNNNNNNNNNNNNNNNNNNNNNNNNNNNNNNNNNNNNNNNNNNNNNNNNNNNNNNNNNNNNNNNNNNNNNNNNNNNNNNNNNNNNNNNNNNNNNNNNNNNNNNNNNNNNNNNNNNNNNNNNNNNNNNNNNNNNNNNNNNNNNNNNNNNNNNNNNNNNNNNNNNNNNNNNNNNNNNNNNNNNNNNNNNNNNNNNNNNNNNNNNNNNNNNNNNNNNNNNNNNNNNNNNNNNNNNNNNNNNNNNNNNNNNNNNNNNNNNNNNNNNNNNNNNNNNNNNNNNNNNNNNNNNNCAUCAUCUAGUUCCAAAGCAUGAUUAAUGUGUAUAACUGCACCAUUAAAAGAUAAACAACACUUGUUUCAAGAUAAUUCUCAUGGAUUUGAAUUUGAACAUUCAAGAUUGAAACAAGAAUUUGAAUCAUACAAGGGGAAAUUAGAAUUUUCCAAAAUAUUUUACCCAAAAAAGAAAAAAGAAAAUCAUACCCGAAUUGGAGCCCGACUAAUCCGGAUUUGCGCCGGGUAGGGCCCCUUCCGGGGGUAGCGCUCCCAACAGAGAGGCUAUAUAUAUAUAUAUAUAUGCAUGCAAGUAGGUUAAAUAGGAGUAUAAUUUUUGUUAAAGAUAUAGAAGAAGCUAGUAGGAUAUAUAUAUAUAUAUAUGCAUGCAAGUAGAUUAAAUUUUUGGUAAAGAUAUAGGAGCUACAAGAAUGAAAACCAAUCACCACUUUUGCUGGAUCAAAAGAAACAAGCAAAGAGGAUACAAUUAGUGUAAAGAGGAUAUUUACAAGUAAGUUUACUUAAACCAUUUGAGAUUUACAAUCUUGAAAAUAAAAUAUAUUAAUUAUUAGUACAAUUUUACACUCAAUUAAUUUAUCAAUCCCUCUAGUCAGAUGGGUGUCAGCCGAUUUUUUGAUCAAAUCCUCUAAAAACCAUACAUGCAAGUCUUCCUACACGUGGGUCACGCCAUUCGAAGUGGCCCAACCUAACAUUCAUUCGCAAAUUUAAAACAUUUAUAAAAUUAUACUAUAUAUGUUGUUAUUUAAGGGAGAAGGAAAUAAGAGUGCAAAUAAAAUAUUACCAGAGAGUUGCAUAACCACAAGCAACAAAACCACAUAGAACAUAAAAAGGCUCUUCAUUGUCAUUCAAUAUUCCAAAAGUAGUGCAACUGCAAUCAAAAAGAAAAAAAACAUAUAUGAUAGAUAAGAUUAGAUAAAAACUUAAUUAAUAUGAAAAAAAUUUUGAACUAGAAAAAAGGUAAGAAAAUAGAAAGACAAAAAUAUAGAGGGGUAGGAGAAAUUUAUAGUGAAAAUUAGUUGAUAACAUAUUAGUGAAUUUAUGGUUAGGUUUUUAAUACUUACUUGCCAUUUAAAGCAAUAUGAUAAAUAUUUUUCUUAAAAUAUGUUUGUAAAAGUUUAUAAUAUAAGUAUUACCACUAUAUAUAACCGUGAGUGACAGCUGAAAGCAUGCAGCUGCGAGCAGGCAGCUGACGGUCGACAUGCCUGCUUCCAGCUGCCUGCUUGUUCCGUGAUUUUACUAUUUCACCUCUAAUUAAUUAUUAUAUGAUAUUUAUGUAUUAAAAAAAUAAUAUUUAAUAAAAAAAUAUCUUAAAAUGGGUGACUCUAAAAAAAGACAACUGUGAAAUGUUUGUAAAAGUUUUUAUGACAAUAUGAUUAAUAUAUAUCUUAAAAUGCUUGACUAAAAAAAAAUGAAAAUUAUGAACUUGUUCUAACAUGAUACAUUAAUAGUUGUCAUAUUUGCUAAAAGAAUUUAUCUCAAAAUAGUUUACAUGUUUAAAAACUCAAGAGCUCAUUAAUUAUUUUUUUCCAAUUCUAUCUUUAGUAAUAAAUAUUUUAAAAUUAAAAGACAUGAAAAUAGAUGAAAAUUAAAAAAUUAAUAAGGGAUAUAUUAGUUAUAUCGCACUAAUAUAAUUUUAACACUCUAAUCUUCCAUUACUCAUUCAACUCAAGCAGAGGCGGAUCCAGGAUUCGGAAGCUUCGGGUGUCAUCUUAUUUUGAACAAUAACGUAUACUCCGUAUGAUAUUUUUAGGAUAAUGGAGUCAAUAUUUAAGGAAUAAACUAUAAUUAUAUAUAUCAACAAAUACUAGUAUUACAUAAAGGUUUGCCUAGUUGGUAUUGUCAAGUGUUUUGUAAGAAGAGGCCAAUAUGUUUUUUUAAGAGAAAACAGACAUAUAUUGCUAAAAAUCAUUCUAAAAAAUUGAAAAUAUUGUGCUGAGCGGGGAUCGAACCAGCGUUGCAGGAGUAAAACUCAACCAUUUCAACCACUUACACCACCAAUUCCUUUGAUAUUGUGGGUGCCAAGAGUAAUAUUCUUACAUUAACUGAUACAUAUACACAUAAAUAUGCAUUAACUAAUACAUAUACUCAUAAAUAUGCAGAGUUUCAAUCGAGAAGUGCGGGUGCCGUGGCACCCCAAACCUUGUGAAUAGAUCCGCCCCUGAACUCAAGCGAAAAUCACCCAUUAUCCCACAUGAGUUGUGGUGCAGUGGAUAGGGCUGUUUCAUCCUUAACCAAAAGUCGAGGGUUCGAUUCUGGGUAUGGAGAAAACUCUAUUGGGAGCGAUGCCAGCUUAAUGGACCCUGCAACGCGCAAUCCGAAUUAGUCGGGGAUCCAAUACGAACACCGAAUAUCGAAUGGAAAAUUAAAUCAAAAAAAAAAAAAAAAAAAAAAAACCCAUUAAAAUUCCAAUAUUUCCAUAUGGGAAAGAGAGUAAACUUGUCACCUUAUUUGUUUGCAUGCAUCUUAAUUAAGCAAAAUAUUAACUAAAAGUAAUUUGAAUUAUCCUCGUUUAUUAUUCAUCUCUAUUUAAUAAUUCUAUCUUUUACACUAUAUUACUAAUAUCUUUUCACAUUUUUAAUUAAGGAUAAAGAUGAAAAAAGACAAUUAAUUAUAUCUUAAUUUUUUAAAAUAACAAAUACACUCUUCGUCCCAAAUUACGAUGAAGUAAAAUAUCAAUUGUUUAGCAGCGCCUCUUCAGAAGAGCUCAUUGGGCAGGGGAAAGUAUGCCUUAGAACAUCGAUGAUGACAUUGAAGCACACAUUGAACUCGAGCUUAUGGAUGAUUUUAUGCAUUUCUUUCCCUUAAUUUCAACCCAUUUGUCGUCUAUCCAAUCUCUUGAAAUCCUCACGUUCUUCCUUUCAAUCUCCAAUGUCUUGUUCUCCCCUAUUAUAAAAGAAAAAGAACACUCCGGGACAUCAGGCCAAGGCCAACAUCAAAAAAGAAAAAUGAAAGAAAGUCCGGUGCACUAAAACUCUGGUUAUGCAUGCGGUCUGAGGAAGGCCGGACCACAAGGGUCUACUCUACGCAGCCUUAUUCAAGACUUGAACUCGACGACCUCCUUAUCACAUGGCAGCAACUUUAUCGGUUGCUACAAGGCUCCCAUUUCCACGACCAGCAUAGAUUGUUCAAAACUCCGGACAACAAAUUAACUAGAAACUAGGCCCUGCUGUCUAAAACUUUUUCACUGUCGUGUUAGAAAGCCAAUUCAUGAAAACGCGGUCCAUUGGUUGUUGAGUUUGUCCUCAUCAGAAGUUGCUAUCCAUCAACAGAUAAUCAAGAAUCCUCCUUUUAUUGCUUGUNNNNNNNNNNNNNNNNNNNNNNNNNNNNNNNNNNNNNNNNNNNNNNNNNNNNNNNNNNNNNNNNNNNNNNNNNNNNNNNNNNNNNNNNNNNNNNNNNNNNNNNNNNNNNNNNNNNNNNNNNNNNNNNNNNNNNNNNNNNNNNNNNNNNNNNNNNNNNNNNNNNNNNNNNNNNNNNNNNNNNNNNNNNNNNNNNNNNNNNNNNNNNNNNNNNNNNNNNNNNNNNNNNNNNNNNNNNNNNNNNNNNNNNNNNNNNNNNNNNNNNNNNNNNNNNNNNNNNNNNNNNNNNNNNNNNNNNNNNNNNNNNNNNNNNNNNNNNNNNNNNNNNNNNNNNNNNNNNNNNNNNNNNNNNNNNNNNNNNNNNNNNNNNNNNNNNNNNNNNNNNNNNNNNNNNNNNNNNNNNNNNNNNNNNNNNNNNNNNNNNNNNNNNNNNNNNNNNNNNNNNNNNNNNNNNNNNNNNNNNNNNNNNNNNNNNNNNNNNNNNNNNNNNNNNNNNNNNNNNNNNNNNNNNNNNNNNNNNNNNNNNNNNNNNNNNNNNNNNNNNNNNNNNNNNNNNNNNNNNNNNNNNNNNNNNNNNNNNNNNNNNNNNNNNNNNNNNNNNNNNNNNNNNNNNNNNNNNNNNNNNNNNNNNNNNNNNNNNNNNNNNNNNNNNNNNNNNNNNNNNNNNNNNNNNNNNNNNCCAAGUCAAUUAAAAUCAAAUCAUACAUAGAAAGUUCAAAAUUGCAUCGACAUUAAUAAGAUUACAAAAACAUGCAUGAUAUUAAGGAUCACAUAUAGAUGCUUAAGCGGAAAAUGAAAAAGGGAAGAGAAAGAUAAAAAGAAAAUCCAAACUGCAUACAGCACAUUCAUCAUAAUAGAUACUUUGCGACAUGGAGACAUAAAAGAAAAAAUAAAAGAGAAAAGGUUUAUUGUUCAAGUGAAAUUCUAAAUCGGUGUAAGAAGCAAAGGGAGUCUAGAAGCAAAGGGCAGACUCGUACUGAACAACUAGGUCUAUUAAAGAUUCGACCCUAUUUAGAAUGCAACAGAUCUCAGCCAGACAGCAGCAAGAUAAUCAGACAUUUAGUGACCUCAUUAUUAUAACCUUUUUUAGAAGGAUUACUUCAUUACUCGUUGAAUCCGAUAUAGAACACCCAUUGCAACAACAUAACCAGUGUAAUCCCACACGGCCUUUAACUCUACCUAGUUGAGAUAGAGAGACUGUUUCCAAUAGACCCUCCGCCCACUCACCCCCACCACCAAACGUAAAGGCCGAUUUACCUUCUCUUUCCCCAAGGAAUUGCACCUCCAGGAUUAUUUCCUUGCAUUUAACCCCGUUCUUAAUCAGGACGAAAGUUGAAAAAAGGUGAGACUGCGCCCUUACACAUUAGAGCAAGGAUGCCAUAAAGAUUUAUUAGUGCUAUCAAUAAAAAGAAAGGAGUAUAGCAUCAACACCAUACGUUCUUCAUCAGAUAUCUCUCCUAUCAAUUAGAAAAAGAACUGAUUAUACAAAAUGCCGAGAACUUAAACCCCCUUUCCCUUAUCUGUCAAAGAGUUAAAAAUUGACUGUAUCGGGAAAAGGAAAGACAUAUAUUUUAGAUUUUAUCAAGGGGGAAAAAAGGAAGACAUAGAAGCAGAAAGAAACUUCUACCUCGAUUUCUCUUUUUUUCUUUUUUAAUCGUUGAAGUGCAAACUUAUACCUCGAUCUCUCCGCAAGCGUAAUAGCUCCUGAUGACCAUAUAAACAAUGAAAAAACAGCACCAAACCACAACCUCAAACGAAACACAGACAGAAUUUCGCUUAAUCAAAAGAAAGACUAAACUUAAUUCCAGAAACUCUCGAUACAACUCAGCUACAAAGAACAGAUUUUUUUGUCAAGGUUACCGACCACGGACCAAAUCAGAAUGAAAAACAACAAUGAAGCUUAAAUCCACGUGAAAAUGGAAUGGGGUUUUCUGCUUUUCAAAGAUAAACCAUGCACAAGAACAAAAGCAUACAACAAUGAACCAGCAUUGGUCAGACAACAAGUGAUCACACUUACAAACAGCUUAAGGUUGAAAAAGGAAACAAGCAACUAAAAAACAAUCCGGAAUUCAAGAAAAACAAGAUAAGCACGGAACUAGUAACUCACCUCAAAAGUAGCAAACGUUUCUUUCUUUAUGGAGGAGAGCAGAAACAGCUACAGAAAAAAACCAGAGAAUGCUGAGUUGGGCUUUUUGUUCAAGAAGCGGUGACGGUUAGGGAAAAUGAUAGAGUAAAGAGCAAAAGAACAAGAAAAGAAGAUGGGAGAGAAGGGAGAAAACGCCAAAUGUCAUUGCCCACACAAGCAAAAGGUUGAGCAUUGGUUUUUUGUUUGAACUUCUUAGAAAAAAUAUACCAAAUCAAACCGAUAAUAUACAUACAUAUAUUUUAUAAUUAUUUAUUGAAGACAAGAUGUGGAAAGCAAGGUUGAGAUGAUUCGGACAUGCAAUGAGGAGAAGCACGAAUGCCCCAAUGCAGAGGUGUGAGGCGUUAGCUAUGGAUGGAUUUAGGAGGGAUGGAGGUAGACCAAAGAAGUAUUGGAGAGAGGUGAGAGUUGUAUCUUACCGAGGACAUGAUCUUAGGUGGAAAGGUGUGGAGGACAUGAAUUAGCGUAGAACGCUAGCAGGUAGGAGUGCAUCCAUAGUAGUAGGUAGAAGUGCAUUGUCGUGUUGCCUUUUCUAGUAGUCGUAAGGACUACUCAUGUUGUUCUCGUUCUUCAAUUUCCGUUACUAUCUAUUAUUUUCGUGUAGCUCGAGUGGAGUACUAUUUUGUUGUAGCAAUGUUAUUUUACUAUUUGUUGCUUUUGAAACUAUCUAUUGUCUCCUUAUUUAUAAAAUAAAUUUCAACACCCAAAAAUGAUUAUCAACUAUUUACAAUCAGUUUAUCCAAAAAGACUCUAACUGAGUAAUUUGACUAUUAAGAAUAUAUAUUGUCGGCUCCAAUUGAUUUGGGACUGAUGCAUAACUAUUAUCCUAAUUAAGUAAAAAUUUUGCAAUAGUUAUAUUGAAAAUUAUUUGAGAGAAAGAGUAAUGUUGUUUUUUUCUUUCUUCUUUCUUCCCUAACUGCUAGCAUUGGCUAACAAUUCAAUAAGGAUGAAUGAUAUUACUUCACUCGUAGUCAGGAUAAAAUUCAUAUAACUAUUCUAUAGAUCCUGUAAUUAAAAAAAUCUAGUAUCCUAGAAUUUUAAAUCACUCGUAGUCAGGAUAAAAUUCAUAUAACUAUUCUAUAGCUCCUGUAAUUAAAAAAAUCUAGUAUCCUAGAAUUUUAAAUUACACAAGUAAAACUCUAGAAGGAUGACUACUACUUCAAAGACUUGAUAGAAAGCAUGACGAUAUAGAUAUGACGUCCUUAUUUUUCGAUAGUUUCUUAAGAUGUCGUUAAUGGGGAAAAUGACACCUUUUUGGUAAUGGCAAGGGCAAAAACCAAUCUAACUAUUAACGGAGGGCAAAAGUGCUCCUCGGCGGAGAGUACAAGAACAAUUUUGACCCCUUUUUCCGUAGUUUGAAUAUAAGCCACAGAGACUCCAAUUUUACAUCCAUUGACUGUUGAGUUAUCCUUACAUGAAGUUUCUACACAUGAACCGAUAAGCAAAAAAUCGCCUUUUAUUCUUUGUUUUCUAUUUCUAUUUUAAUUAUUUAGUUUUUUGGGUGCUCUUUGGGAUUGUUAUUUCUUACCAGGGAAGUAAACAUCAAGAUGACUGCUUCCAAAGAAAUCGAAUUCAGCAACGACACCUUCCCACCAGUCACAUCACCAAGCAUCAACUGCAGUAACCACUUCAGAAAAUAGUCAGAAGAAUCCUCUAGAGGCCGGGGCCGAAUUGCGAGCCUGCAACUCUGUAGGAUGGAAGCCAUUCCUAUAAAUCAAGAAAAGGUGAUGGGGAAACAGUGUGAAGGGAAAACCGACAAAUCAAUAUAUGUAAGUAAUCAUAAGUUAAAGUACAUAAAUUUAAGGUAAAUUAAGCACAGGUGAGAUUUACUUACAAGUCAAAACAGUGCCAAAAGCAUUUCACCAGAAUCAAAGAAACUGACGACUUCUAGGCGCCAGCAUUAUCACAUGUAGAAUUGUCAGAAAUCAGCUCUACUUACCUGCAAGAAAAUCAUUACCCCAUCGUUUCUUCAGUUUAAGCACAUCGGUGGCUUGCUUCUCCGCUAAGUGUUCAGAAGUUGACGUCAUUUUUUUGUCUUCAGGUGCCACAAGCUUGGGAGCCAUCUGAUUUUCGUAGUUCCCCGGUUCUUUGAUACUGCGCUUGGACACAUCAUUUAAGCUCGAGCUUAUGAAUGACUUGAUGUCUUUCUUUCCCUUAACUUCAACCCAUUUGUCGUCUAUCCAAUCUCUUGAAAUCCUCACAUUCUUCCUUGGAAUCUCCAACAAUCUAUUCUCGCCUAUUAUCAAAAAAAAAACACCUUGGGGAAUCAGUCCAUGACCAACAUUGAACAUUCAAAAUUCUAACUACAAAUUAGCCAGAAACUAGGCAUAAUGUUUUAUUCCUUAUUUUCUGUAACUUUAUAAAAAAUUUUAGGUGCUCUUUGGGGUUGUUAUUUCUUACCAGGGAAGAAAACCUGAAGAUGACCGCUUCCAUAGACAUCAAAGUCAACAACAACACCUUCCCACCAUCCGUCAGACCACCAAGCAUCAACUGCAGCUCCUACUUCAAAAGAACAGUCAGAAAAAUCCUCCGGAGGCCAGGGCCGAAUUGUGAGGCGUCCUAUGCAUCUCAUGCCCAAUUUAUCAGAGUCUGCAACUCUGUAGGAGGAAACCCAUUCCUACAAAUCAAGAAAAGGUGAUAAGGAAAUAGCGUGAAGGGAGAACAGAAAAGUAUAUAAACUUAGAGUUAUUGUGUCAGUGAUUAAGGUACCUUGAGCUUGUCAGGACCAUCACAAUCCUGGAUGUCAUCGUAUUGAACUUUCAGAUAUUUUUCUGAAACCUUUAAGACCUUACACCUGAACCAGCAGCCUGUCAGGCCACUAUCGCGUCUAAGAACCUCUAAGUUGUCACCAACUUCAAAAGACAGCUUAAAUUGAGGCUCAACAAGCUGAAUUCCAGCCGGUCCACCGCUUGGAAUUUUUGUUUUCAACUUUGGGAAAGUUGGUGGCUUAGCUGUUGCUAGCUGGUUACCAGGAAUUGACUUUCUGAUGCCAGAAGAACGACUCCCACCGACACUUCUGCUCCCCCUAGGCCCUUGUUUUAUAGGAUCUUCUCGGGUUCUUCGCGGGUUAUAUCUUUUAUUUCGUGCAACAUAGGACUCUUUGACUUAAGCUGGGCUUGAUGACUGGAUAACAUGGUAAAUAUUGUCUGGUUAUAGUAGCCACCCAACUCACCUACAGAGAACGGCAUGAC
This 42738-nucleotide long non-coding RNA is filed under the name Capsicum annuum. RNAcentral's name for it is "long non-coding RNA (CANN_LNC020057)". Lineage: Eukaryota; Viridiplantae; Streptophyta; Magnoliopsida; Solanales; Solanaceae. The record is from RNAcentral.